UUCCAACAACCUGCUCUACUCUGAGAUCAUCUUUAACAAGAAAGAAUGGCAUUUUAUUGGCAUUAAAAACCUUAUAAGGGUCAGAAAACCACAAAGACCAUAUCACCAAGUAAUCAUCAGUACCAGCCCAGAAAGCAGCAGGAAAGGAAGAAGAGGAACCACUGUGAAGAUGCAGAAGAGUGGCUGUAGAUGAGCAGGCAUUCAGAAAAAGGCAAAGUGCAUUGUCCUGAAGAGAGCUGUGUGAGAACUGUCAGGAGUCAGAGCCAGGGAUGCAAACUCAGAGGAACUCGCUGCAUACGCAUGGAAGGAACCAUCUAUGGACAAAAGGCUGUCACCAGACACCACAUCUACCAGUGUCUUGAUCUUGGAUUUUUCAGCCUCCAAGUCUAUAAGCUUUCUAACAUCGUUAUCGUCAAGCAGCUUCUGAGUGCAGACAUGAUUGGUGAUUCUCGAGCAUUAUAGUCUUAAAAAAUGGGACCACAGAGUACAAAGGCAAAGUAGUUGGCAAAGAAGCACUGAGUCUCUGUGGCCAUAAACAAAUAUGCCAGUCCUUGAACUUCCUACUACAGACUUUUAUCCACGAGACACACAGCAUACCUGCUGAGCUACUGUGAAUGACAUUUUAUAUUGG
Long non-coding RNA from Fukomys damarensis (Damara mole-rat), 631 nucleotides. RefSeq lists it as uncharacterized. NCBI's taxonomy places the organism in Eukaryota, Metazoa, Chordata, Mammalia, Rodentia, Bathyergidae. The record is from RefSeq and is a predicted model, not a curated record. The transcript has 6 exons.